GUAUCCUAACCGUGCGAAGGUAGCGUAAUCACUUGUCCUUUAAAUGAGGACUAGUAUGAACGGUCUCACGAAGGCUGCACUGUCUCCUUUUUCUAAUCAGUAAAACUAAUCUUCCCGUGAAGAAGCGGGAAUUUUCCUAUAAGACGAGAAGACCCUAUGGAGCUUUAAACAAUUGAUACACUUGCAUCUUAAACCACUUUUUAUUUAACCAAGCAUUUUGUUUCUAGUUUUAGGUUGGGGUGACCACGGAGAAAAACCUAUCCUCCAUGCCGAAAGGAAUUCUUAUUUCUUAGCAAAAAGCCACAUCUUUAUGCAUCAACAAAUUGACCCUAAUUGACCCAAUAAUUUGAUCAACGAACCAAGUUACCCUAGGGAUAACAGCGCAAUCCACUUCAAGAGCUCUUAUCGACAAGUGGGUUUACGACCUCGAUGUUGGAUCAGGGUAUCCAAGUGGCGCAGUCGCUA
This 465-nucleotide ribosomal RNA is filed under the name Mannophryne collaris (collared poison frog). RNAcentral describes it as "partial 16S ribosomal RNA". It matches the Rfam family "Bacterial large subunit ribosomal RNA", at positions 1936 to 2564 of the family's 2925-position model. The record is from RNAcentral. Lineage: Eukaryota; Metazoa; Chordata; Amphibia; Anura; Aromobatidae.